This 441-nucleotide ribosomal RNA is filed under the name uncultured bacterium. RNAcentral describes it as "partial 16S ribosomal RNA". It matches the Rfam family "Bacterial small subunit ribosomal RNA", at positions 338 to 795 of the family's 1533-position model. The record is from RNAcentral.
CCUACGGGAGGCUGCAGUGAGGAAUAUUGCACAAUGGCCGGAACGCUGAUGCAGCGACGCCGCGUGAGUGAAGAAGGUGUUCGGUAUUUAAAGCUCUAUCAGCAGGGAAGCAGAAAGACGGUACCUGACUAGGAAGCGGCGGCUAACUACGUGCCAGCAGCCGCGGUAAUACGUAGGGGGCAAGCGUUAUCCGGAUUUACUGGGUGUAAAGGGAGCGUAGACGGCUGUGCAGGUCUGAAGUGAAAGCCCAGGGCUCCACCCUGGGACUGCCUUGGAAACUGUGGAGCUUGAGUGCUGGAGAGGUAAGUGGAAUUCCCAGUGUAGCGGUGAAAUGCGUAGAUAUUAGGAGGAACACCAGUGGCGAAGGCGGCUUACUGGCCAGUAACUGACGUUGAGGCUCGAAAGCGUGGGGAGCAAACAGGAUUAGAUACCCGUGUAGUC